GCACCUCUCUGGCUGGGAUUUGCCAAUAGUGACAGAACCAGGGCUGUUCCACAGUGCGUGGUCCUGGAGCAGAGGCACCCGGGCGGAUCACACCGCUGAGAUCAAGCUGGGAUUUGGUUCUUGUCCUUCACAAGCAAGAAGGUGCUUUGGCAGUUUGCCCGAGUGCUGGAAGGAGAAGGCAGCUCCGAUGCUGUUGCAGCUUCCCCGGCUGCCAGGGGAAAUAAAAGAAUCAUCUGGGYUGGAAAAGAUCACCUGUAAGAUCAUCGAGUCAGGUCUUCGUGUGUUUGUUCAUGAAAUGAAAGACGUCUGGGUGAGCCUGCUUUCCACUCCUCUGGCCUGCCUCCCGCAGCCCACAGGGGAUCUUUCGGUCUCGGGAUGACGCCUCCCUUCACAUUUCACAGCACCCAAAUACGGCAUGAGUGGGGGUGAUGUCAUGGGCAGACUUUAACCUGUGUCCUGGGUGUCAAGGAUGGCACGGGGGAAGGUGCUGGGGAAGGUGCUGGUACAGCCCUGUGCGCUGCCCAGGCUCUUCACACCGUGCUGGGGCACAGCACAUGGAGCAGGGGGCCCUGUCUGGCCRUGCUCGAGCUGUCCCCUGUCCCCAGGCUGCCACUCCCCUUCUGCUGUGGCCGGAAGACAUGAGCUCCCGAUUAAAGGAUAUUUCAACCAGACGGAGGGGCUGCGGCGGCCGGGGGAGCGCGCAGCAGGAGGGGACGGGGACAGGACGCGUGAGAGACCAGAGGAGAAGCUAAUUUACGCUGGAAUGUAAAUACAGCRGCAUCACGCUGCUCCGCGGGGCUCGUCACCCCCAUCCUGGCUCCGGAACACGGGGUAGAGCCACCCAGGACAGCUCAGGCCAUGUCCCGGCCGUGCCAAACCCGCAUCUCACCUGGGCACUGUGCAGAGGAGAGGAGGAGGAGGGUCAGGGGCUGUUGCAGCAGCCCGGUCCCGCUGUCUGCGUUGGGGCACCGCGGGUCACACAUCCACCGCAGAGGGAUGCAGUCCCAGCCGCCCUAAUCAUCCUAAGAAUCAAUAGCAGCGUCACGGAUGUGCAGAACAACAGCUCCGAGUUGAGAGGGGACCUUCUCAGCAGGAUUAACUCUGAACCCAGUGACAACACUCUAAGUAUCUGUGCUAUCUGUGUCCCCGCUGCUCAUUCUAGCAGAUAGCUCCUGCUAAUGAGCUUUACUCAACAGCACUAGAUUUGUCUGUAAGAGCAAACUCCAGGGAUCAAAAAAUAAGGUUUAAGAUGCAAAUAUUCUGUGAAAUAUCCAGAUUUAAUUUUUUUGUUGUUGYUGUUCCUWAGUUCAGGGGAUGAUUUUUAAAGGAAGCGAGGAGAGUUUCUCURGAAUGUGAGACAGAGAAAAUUUUUUUAAAAGAAAAAACCGAAUAACAUAAAAUCAUGGGAUUGGUUUUGCUUGGUUUGAGGUUUUUUUUUUAGCUUGAAACCACUGAAUUUGGAAAAGUUUCCUUCUGCUCACUCAGGGCAGUGUAAGUACAGAUGCCCCAGCCCAGGGCAGCAGGUCAGGCUCAUCCACUCCUCUCCAGUUCACAAAGUAUCCCUGGGGAAGCCGUGGGCACACUGAUGGGGGUCAGGCUGGUGGCACGGGGUGAUCCACAGCCAGCCACCUCACUGGUCAGGGCAGAGGAGGUCAGCAGAUGGGUGGUCUGUGCCAGGUGACAAAGAGAUUUGAAUAAGUCCCUAAAAUGUCCAGCCCAGGCUGUCAGUGGGCUCCUCUCCUGCCCCACCCCAGCACAAGGACCUGAGCUCAGACACAGAUGCUGGGAGAAUUCACACCCCAAGACAGGUUGCUUUUCAGUUUUCUUUAAUCUUCCUCAUGGCUUUUUUUUCUUUUUUUUUUUUUCAUUUUGAGGCAGGAGUACUAACUGCUAAGGAUGCAAAUGGAAUUUGAAUAUGAAUGAUAAGAACAGCUGUGUAUAUCUAUUAUGAAUGAACAUAAACAGAAAUGUAUAAACUGAGAUUUUGGGGCUUUUGGAAGAAUUAGUGCCUUUGUUCCUGGAUUUUUUUCCUAUCAAAGUUUGAACCAAAGCCCAUUAGCCUGGACUUUCCCGCAGCCGACCAAGCCAGGAGCUUCAUUUCGUCCUGGCUCUGAGCCAUGCUGAAUUCUCCUCAACAGCUCAGUGAGCCCUAAUCCUAACAAAUUUACCCAGAGAAGUGGGUCUCUUAUUACACAGCCUAAUUUGAAUGCUUUCCAAGGUUAAUUUCGGCUCCCUCUCCCUCUCCAAACACGCCUGCCCCUCCAGAGCCAGCUCCCGCCUUCCCCAGCUCCCCCCCGGCUCCCCGUUARCGCCAGCCCGGGGGGAGCAGCCCCCUUCACCACCGAGAUGGUUUUUAAACGAGAAAAUAAUGGGAUGUGUGUCCCUGGGUCCGGACUCUGCCUGGAGGGUUUCUUAAUGCCGAGCGACUUCCUCCGCAAAUUAAUUGCAACUUUCGUUGGGCGAAAAUAGCCCUGGAAGCCCCUUCCCCACAGGCUCUUCCGCACGUGAUGUUACUGAGUUCAUAAUCUGAUUCCUACGACUCUGUUCCUUCCUUCCCGUCCCCAGGGUGCCCGGGAGGGUGACCCACCCCACAGCCGCGCCGGGGCCGCGGAGCAUCGCUGCCUCUCGCUUUGCAACAGACUGUGCAAGAAAACCUCGGCGUGGGGAAACUGAAACCCGGCCCAGAGCAGGGAGCAGCUGUCGGAUCCAUUAGGGAAGGGAUGGAGAAGGAACCAGCYAUGCCUGGUGGAUGGAGUGCUGGAGAGGGGAGGUGCAGGGGCUGGGGAUGGCAGGAGAGGGUUAAAAGGGGUUUAGGCUGAAAGAGGGUCAAUUUAGAUUAGAGAUAAGGAAUGAGGUGUUUUACUYUGGGGGUGAUGAAACRCUGGCACAGGCU
Long non-coding RNA from Malurus melanocephalus (red-backed fairy wren), 2893 nucleotides. RefSeq lists it as uncharacterized. The transcript has 3 exons. The record is from RefSeq and is a predicted model, not a curated record. NCBI's taxonomy places the organism in Eukaryota, Metazoa, Chordata, Aves, Passeriformes, Maluridae.